CGUCUAUAUACGUAUAGCAUAUCAAUAAGCGGAGGAAAAGAAACUAACUAGGAUUCCCUCAGUAACGGCGAGUGAAGCGGGAAGAGCUCAAAUUUGAAAUCUUCAAGGUUCUACCUUGACGAAUUGUAGUUUAAAGAAGUGUUUUCUGUUGGAGUUUUGGUAAAAGUUCUUUGGAAUAGGACAUCAUAGAGGGUGAGAAUCCCGUAUUUGACCAUUAUUUCCAACUUUGUGAUACACUUUCAAAGAGUCGGAUUGUUUGGGAAUGCAGUCCAAAAUGGGUGGUAAAUUUCAUCUAAAGCUAAAUAUUGGCGAGAGACCGAUAGCGAACAAGUACCGUGAGGGAAAGAUGAAAAGAACUUUGAAAAGAGAGUUAAACAGUACGUGAAAUUGUCAAAAGGGAAGCGUUUGACACCAGUGUUGUUUUCUCGAAAAUCAAUUAAAAAAGAUUUAGAUUGGAUUUUGUGUUGUAUUGACUUCAUCAGCUUUCUGCACUCUUUUCUUGUCUUUUUUAAUGCACUUUUCGUUUAACAAGUCAACAUCAAUUUCUUUUGUUGUAAAAGGGUCAUUGGAAGGUGGCUUUCUUUUCGGAGAAAGUGUUUAUAGCCUUUGACUUCUGCAAUCGGAGAGAUUGAGGUCUGCAGCGUAGAUCCUUCGGGGUUAGAUGCAUUUGUGCUAAGUUAUAGCCUUUCAUAGACAACUUGUUGACUAUGAUCAGUCAUGUAGCUUACUCGCUUAUGUCAUUUUACCUACGCUUAGGAUGUUGAUCUGUAGUGCGUGCGC
This 780-nucleotide ribosomal RNA is filed under the name uncultured Neocallimastigales. RNAcentral describes it as "partial large subunit ribosomal RNA". It matches the Rfam family "Eukaryotic large subunit ribosomal RNA", at positions 26 to 646 of the family's 3401-position model. Lineage: Eukaryota; Fungi; Neocallimastigomycota; Neocallimastigomycetes; Neocallimastigales. The record is from RNAcentral.